AUACAAUAUGGUAUAGAUAAUCCAGAAGAAGUCUGCAUAAAAGUCUUUGCCCAAAAGGAUAAUCCUAGAAUUCCGUCUGUCUUCUGGAUUUGGAGAAGUGCCGAUUUUCAAGAACGCGAAUCUUAUGAUAUGGUGGGAAUCUCUUAUGAUAAUCAUCCGCGCCUUAAACGUAUCCUAAUGCCUGAAAGUUGGAUAGGCUGGCCCUUACGUAAGGAUUAUAUAACCCCCAAUUUUUAUGAAAUACAAGAUGCUCAUUGA
RNAcentral lists this ribosomal RNA (258 nucleotides) under Triticum aestivum (bread wheat). RNAcentral's name for it is "partial small subunit ribosomal RNA". The record is from RNAcentral. Lineage: Eukaryota; Viridiplantae; Streptophyta; Magnoliopsida; Poales; Poaceae.